GGCGAACGGCUGAGUAACACGUGGGCAACUUGCCCUUUGCACUGGGAUAGCCUCGGGAAACCGAGGUUAAUACCGGAUACUCCAUAUUUGUCGCAUGGCGAAUAUGGGAAAAGCUCCGGCGGCAAAGGAUGGGCCCGCGGCCUGUUAGCUAGUUGGUGGGGUAGUGGCCUACCAAGGCAAUGAUGGGUAGCCGGGUUGAGAGACCGACCGGCCAGAUUGGGACUGAGACACGGCCCAGACUCCUACGGGAGGCAGCAGAG
Molecule: ribosomal RNA, 260 nt
Filed under: uncultured Atopobium sp.
Lineage: Bacteria; Bacillati; Actinomycetota; Coriobacteriia; Coriobacteriales; Atopobiaceae
Description: partial 16S ribosomal RNA
Rfam family: Bacterial small subunit ribosomal RNA
Source: RNAcentral